RNAcentral lists this long non-coding RNA (1542 nucleotides) under Lonchura striata (white-rumped munia). RNAcentral describes it as "domestica (Bengalese finch) lncRNA (ENSLSDG00000010109.1)". The record is from RNAcentral. Lineage: Eukaryota; Metazoa; Chordata; Aves; Passeriformes; Estrildidae.
GGGAGGGGGCGGCGGGCCGGAGGGAGCGGGGCGCGGGGAGCGGGGCGCGGGGAGCGGGGAGCGGGGUGCUCCUCCCGAAGGGCGCGGCUGGGACGAGCCGGCACGGGGCAGGUCGCUGAGGUGAGUGAGCCCCGGCCCCCUGCCGUCGCUUUGCCCUCGCUGUUCUCAGCUCGGGAGGGAGGGGGCGAGCAGAGCCCGUCAGCCCUUAUAAAUAAGCGGGAAGGAGUGGCCCCAAGUUGUGUCAGGGGAGGUUUAGGUUGGAUUUUAGGAGAAGGCUUUUCACCCAGAGGGUGGUCGAGCACUGGAAAUAGGCUCCCCAGGGAAAUGGCUGUGGCCCCAAGACUGCCAGUUCACAAACCUUUUGGCCAAAGCUCUCAGCUCUCAGGCACACGGUGGGAUUCUUGGCAGGCACCGUGCGCAGGGCCGGGAGUUGGACUCGAUGACCUGAUGCCAACUCAGGAUGUUCCGUGGUGCUGUGAACGUGCGCAGCUCAGAGGAGCAAGCUGGGGUGACACGUUCUCAGCAGAGCUUGCGUGAGAAACUGCAAGAGUCUCCUGAACAUCCUCCUGCUUCCCCUGUGCGCGUCUGGUCGUUUUAUGACGGCAGAUUAAAAAGCUCGGGAGCCGCGGUGUGGUUUGACGUGUCCUGGCGCCGGAGGAAUGCAAACAUGCCAUGUUUGCCAUGUCUUAUUGCAGGUUGGCAGCUGGAGCAGGGGCACUCCUGGAGCAGUGGCUGCAGGCACAGGACUGAGAAAGUGUCCAUCCCAGACGUGUGGAAAGCAACAGGUGGAUGCGGAGUUCCGUGUGAAGCGCUCGGCCGCUGUGCUGUCUCAGAGGAUGAGGAGGGAGAAGUGUCAGCCCCUGUCUCGCUUCUGUCGCACAGCUGGAGCGGGCAGGGCGCCUCGCAGCCAUGUUGGGUACGGGCAGCAGGAGCUCACCGUGCCCCUCCGUUUUCUGGGCAGGAAGUCCGUGGAAAUGUUACCGUAGCCAUCAUAACUGCGGGCAGGAACAGCCUGCUCCGUGUCCAUCUUGGGUAAGGGAAAGGGAGCUCUGCAGGGGACUGUCACUGUCACAUCUGUCCCCUGCAGAGCUGCUGUCUGUUUCAGGCGGAUGAAAUGCAGCUUACAUAGUUCAUGUGCAUACCUGAAAAACAUCUGGAUUUUGGCUUGAGUGUGUCAAAGUCUUAAUGACUUGAUGAAAAAAUGAGAUCUUUUGCUGAAGGAAGCCUGUCCUGAAUUCUGAGCUAACUGACUUAGAAAGAAAAACACCGAGCAGCAUUAUAGGCAACUCAGUGCCAGAUUUCUGCCUACGGAGCAAUGAUGGUCUAAAAGGCUUCCAAAAUAAUUAAUAUAUAUCAGACUGAGUUUUCAGUGCAGAGGUAUGAACCAGUUGCUUAGCAGGAGAUGCUGAUUCCAGAGAAGUUGUUACAUUUGAAAUGACUGAGGCAUGCUGUAUAGCAAAAGUCCUAUUUCUAGUGUAAAAAUUAAGAUGCAAACUGAUAAUGAAAUCAGAAUAAACAGAUAAGGAGAAACUUGAAGAUGCA